UGAGGAAUAUUGGUCAAUGGGCGCAAGCCUGAACCAGCCAUCCCGCGUGAAGGAAGAAUGCGCUAUGCGUUGUAAACUUCUUUUCCAGGGGAAUAAAAUUUCGUACGUGUACGGGACUGAAGGUACCUUGGGAAUAAGCAUCGGCUAACUCCGUGCCAGCAGCCGCGGUAAUACGGAGGAUGCGAGCGUUAUCCGGAUUUAUUGGGUUUAAAGGGUGCGUAGGCGGAAAAAUAAGUCAGUGGUGAAAACCUUCAGCUUAACUGGAGACUUGCCAUUGAUACUGUUAUUCUUGAGUAUGGGAGAGGGAAGCGGAAUUCCUGGUGUAGAGGUGAAAUUCGUAGAUAUCAGGAGGAACACCGGUGGCGAAGGCGGCUUCCUGGACCAAUACUGACGCUGAGGCACGAAGGCGUGGGGAGCAAACA
RNAcentral lists this ribosomal RNA (422 nucleotides) under uncultured prokaryote. RNAcentral describes it as "bacterial SSU rRNA". It matches the Rfam family "Bacterial small subunit ribosomal RNA", at positions 355 to 774 of the family's 1533-position model. The record is from RNAcentral.